GUCCCCUUCGUGGUUGAAUUUAAACAUUCAGGUCAAUGUUUAGUUCAAGUGUGGGGGGGUUUUCUCCUUUCAUGUUUUUAUUUUCUUUCGAUUUGUUUUGUUUUUGUUAUGUUAUCAUUAUACUAGUAUGUUUGUUUGUUUUGUUUGUUUUCUGUUUUUUUGGACCUACUGUGUGUACAGAGUGAUGAAAAAACGGUUGGAUGAGCCCGGGAUCAAUGGUAGUGGAUGAAUGACACCCCUCAAAC
This 245-nucleotide long non-coding RNA is filed under the name Lathyrus oleraceus (garden pea). RNAcentral describes it as "Pisum sativum (pea) long non-coding RNA (PSAT_LNC024564)". Lineage: Eukaryota; Viridiplantae; Streptophyta; Magnoliopsida; Fabales; Fabaceae. The record is from RNAcentral.